UUUUUUUUUUUUUUUUUUUUGGUGGGGGUGAGAAAAACAGUGAAGUAUCAGUCUUAGACUUUGCUGUAUGAUCUGUAUUCCUUACAUAUGAGGCAAGAUCUGGAAGUCUCUGGAUAGACGUGUAGAUGUCUGUUUUACCAGGACAAAAGGAAUACUGCCUAUUCACAUUAUUUCCAAUGUAUUCAGAUUUCCUGUUUGCUUCUAGUCAUCCUCUAGCAUUGUGGAGGUCCUGUUUUGAAUCCAGCUCAAAUCAGCAAGGGUGGAGAUUUUCAAGCAACUUCUGCUUGCUUUGUUUGGUAGUGAAAAGAACCAGUGACCUCAGUUGACUUUCCAUUUCAUUAGGCACCUACAGGCUUAAUAUCAAAGUCAUAAUUAGUCACCUCAGUUGGCAAGCUUGGGCUGAAUGUGUGGCAACAAAAAUACCGGAGGGGAGUCCCUUCAGGUCAUGCUGGAGGGAGACUGGUCUGUGACAGGUGUCACAGGGUGCUCCAUGUUUGCUCUCAAUUUCCAUUGCUUGCUCUCUUACGUGCUCUGUGUCUGAGGGAAAGGGGAAUUAAAGGAUAUAAUUUUCUCUGUCAAUCAAAUAGACUGGUGAGUCUCAUGAGAACUCAUCUGUAAUCAAAGUCAUUCUGC
Cygnus olor (mute swan) is the source of this 633-nucleotide long non-coding RNA. RefSeq lists it as uncharacterized. The transcript has 3 exons. The record is from RefSeq and is a predicted model, not a curated record. Lineage: Eukaryota; Metazoa; Chordata; Aves; Anseriformes; Anatidae.